This 320-nucleotide transfer-messenger RNA is filed under the name Bacteroidales bacterium. RNAcentral's name for it is "partial transfer-messenger RNA". It matches the Rfam family "transfer-messenger RNA", at positions 74 to 374 of the family's 374-position model. Rfam says of the family: Bacterial tmRNA, also known as 10Sa RNA or SsrA, is named for its dual tRNA and mRNA-like properties. Lineage: Bacteria; Pseudomonadati; Bacteroidota; Bacteroidia; Bacteroidales. The record is from RNAcentral.
ACGGCGUUCAAACAACAACUGGCGAAAACAAUUACGCUCUCGCUGCAUAACCGAACCAAGUAGGUUAUCUUAAUUCCGGCACAAGGUGCCGGAACGGGACGUCACCCCGGAGGUCACGACUUCAGCCAUCCGGAACCGGUGGCGCAGCAAUUGAAGGAUAGUUCGCGGAAAGCUCCGGGCCGCGGGCGAAAUUCAGGAGAUAAGGUGCAGGUCGGUGGCCCUGAUCCAGCUGGCACACGAAAACCAAGUCAGGGAUAAGCAUGUAGAAAACAUAUGGCUUCCCCGUUUGGACGCGGGUUCGACUCCCGCCAGUUCCACCA